GCGCCUGUAGCUCAGCUGGAUAGAGCAACGGACUUCUAAUCCGUAGGUCGCGGGUUCGAAUCCCUCCAGGCGUACCA
RNAcentral lists this transfer RNA (77 nucleotides) under Deltaproteobacteria bacterium HGW-Deltaproteobacteria-19. Its description in RNAcentral is "tRNA-Arg". It matches the Rfam family "tRNA". From Rfam's summary of the family: Transfer RNA (tRNA) molecules are approximately 80 nucleotides in length. The record is from RNAcentral. RNAcentral also lists the same sequence under 3 other names. Lineage: Bacteria; Deltaproteobacteria.